Molecule: ribosomal RNA, 465 nt
Filed under: Vreelandella stevensii
Lineage: Bacteria; Pseudomonadati; Pseudomonadota; Gammaproteobacteria; Oceanospirillales; Halomonadaceae
Description: partial 16S ribosomal RNA
Rfam family: Bacterial small subunit ribosomal RNA
Source: RNAcentral
CCUACGGGUGGCUGCAGUGGGAAAUAUUGGACAAUGGGCGAAAGCCUGAUCCAGCCAUGCCGCGUGUGUGAAGAAGGCCUUCGGGUUGUAAAGCACUUUCAGUGGGGAAGAAAGCCUUGGGGCUAAUACCCUCGAGGAAGGACAUCACCCACAGAAGAAGCACCGGCUAACUCCGUGCCAGCAGCCGCGGUAAUACGGAGGGUGCGAGCGUUAAUCGGAAUUACUGGGCGUAAAGCGCGCGUAGGCGGUCUGAUAAGCCGGUUGUGAAAGCCCCGGGCUCAACCUGGGAACGGCAUCCGGAACUGUCAGGCUAGAGUGCAGGAGAGGAAGGUAGAAUUCCCGGUGUAGCAGUGAAAUGCGUAGAGAUCGGGAGGAAUACCAGUGGCGAAGGCGGCCUUCUGGACUGACACUGACGCUGAGGUGCGAAAGCGUGGGUAGCAAACAGGAUUAGAUACCCGUGUAGUC